CCCCAGUCAAGCUCUUGGAUCCUUAUCAGCUAGCAGGUAGAAACUCAGCCGAUGCUGCCUCCACCCUACUGGAGAGUGUGUCUGCUACAGGACUUGGCUGAUCUAGGUUAUGCUUAUCACGCAGAUGUCGAAGACACAGAAGCCCUGCCAGAAUUAUGGCAACCCUGCAUGCACCAGGUCCCGCAGCUCUUAAAGAAGCAGAGGCCCGGCAAGAAGUGCGUGCGGGACCGCUAUCAAUCUUAGUGAAAUGAGCAUUCACCUCCUCAGUGUGUGGGCUUCUUCGCUUCUGCGGAGAGGCUGUCGCGCACUCGGAGGAAGAGAACAACAGCGCCAUCCAAUAGCUGCGUCGGAGCAGGAGCGAGGCAAAAAGGCGCUUUCCACAACAGCAGAGCACCUCGACGAGACGCGGAGCGGCCCCGAACCCGCGCUUUCCCCGCUGCUAGCCUGCCUGAGCGUUUCUUUGGGCAGCCACCGCAGACCUAGGUGCCGCUGGCCGUGGUCUUCCUCUCACAGCCCUUCCGUGCACCCGACAGUUCUGCGCGGCACAGGUCGAGUACAUCGCUUCUGUCCAUUCCCGCGCUCUCUUGUAGCGGGUACUACUUGCAACGAGCGCCCCUGCUCCGUAGUCUUAUGCGCAGCGCUGCCUUCAGCACCCACCCAGCCCGUCCCCGCACACACAGCAGGAAAUCCCUUCCCAAGCCAGAGAGCCAUUUACCAACCAAGCAGUAACUUAGCACGGGGCGGUGCACGGACACGGAGUCCCUCGGCAAGCCUGCUGCGUGCCUUACGAAGCGGUGAGGGAGGCUGUUCUUCUGAUUCCCAAGAGUUCUUCUCUGAAGCCGCCGAGACAUAGUCUCCUCACGCUUGGGCGAGCGAAUGCAACCUGCCAGCUUCCCCCAUACGUGCACACCGCGGCAAGCUACCACUUGGUCAGUGUGUGUGCUUCUUGUAGCCACUCGGAGACUCCCGUCUGUCAGCUCCCACCCCACCACCGGCAGAAAGACCCCCCGUUUUGGAAGCCCUCCUGCGUCCACACAGCUGCCCCAUUCCCAUCAUAACCCAUAUCUCCCAUACAUACCCAUUGUGUUGCCGAUGAUGGUGCCGCUUGUCUUGCUUGAACAAGGGUUAGGUGGAGAGGGAAGGAGGUCAGGGCGAAGGCUUUUCUUUAAAGCCUCCACUCUUGGCCUUAGCCCAAGUCCUACCCCACUACCUGGGCAAGGAAACUGGGAGGAGACAAGAGGGAGAAGGGGCUGGAUUUUGCCCUCUUCCCGAGGGCAACACACGCCCACACCAAAGGCAGCACUUUUCUCAAUUCGAGGGCAGGAGGUGGAGAAUGGGAGGUGGCAGUCCUCUUUGACCUCAGCGACCUAUUACGGCCAUUAAGAAAAUGACAGAAAGGGAAAUCAGCAGCACAGGAAAGGGUGGAGGGCUACAAAAAAGGGAACACCACACCAUCGCUGGGGAAGAGAUUAGAAAUUUCAGAUGCAGAAACAUGACACAUAGUGUGCUCCGCUUUCCCCCCUGGCAGUUGUCCUGCUUCUUUUACCAACAUUAUGAUGGACAGAAAUUCAAGAAGUGAAGUUUCUCCCUCACUGAGUCUGAAAUUGAGGCACCCUGUCAUCCAGGGACCCUACCUAGCAAGGGAAUACAGGUGAUCGGGGCUAUAAGUGCAAAGCAGGGGAUAAGGUGGGCAAGAGACGGGGGUGGGUAGAGACAGUAAAGAAAUGUGCUUGUACAUGUAGACAGAAAGUAAUUUUUUUUUAAGGCAUGUACAAAUAAUUCCUUUUCAGAAAUAAACAAGCGUAUCGAA
Hemicordylus capensis (graceful crag lizard) is the source of this 1810-nucleotide long non-coding RNA. RefSeq lists it as uncharacterized. NCBI's taxonomy places the organism in Eukaryota, Metazoa, Chordata, Lepidosauria, Squamata, Cordylidae. The record is from RefSeq and is a predicted model, not a curated record. The transcript has 2 exons.